Molecule: long non-coding RNA, 4003 nt
Organism: Hypanus sabinus (Atlantic stingray)
Lineage: Eukaryota; Metazoa; Chordata; Chondrichthyes; Myliobatiformes; Dasyatidae
Exons: 3
Source: RefSeq, a predicted model, not a curated record
CUGUUUUACUCUACCGUUAGGAUGAUGGCUUGAAGUCAAAGUCAAGAACACCUUUCUCCGAGGAUCGCUGCCUUGUUAUGGUGGAAGGCUUGAGAUCCCUAGAGCGAUGACGCCUGGAGUUUUGCUCCUUGUGGCUCUAUGAAACCAUGUCUUUCAACAUCUGACCCUAUGUCCCUGUGGUGAGAAGUGAUAAACGUGUAAGGCCAGCUAACAGGGCUCUGGCGAAGCUGUAUAGCACCGUCCCCUGUACAGUGGAUAAAAUGGAUUAGAGAGGCAUUGAUGAACUCCAACUUUGGAUGAUGGAGAUGGAAGGUCAUCGACGGGCUAUGAUCCACCGGGAACUAGGGGCCCAACAAACUAUAGACAUUUCUAAAAGAAAUUUCAAACAGAUCAUCUUGGUUCACGGGAGGUGGAGAUAAUAUGAAUAGCCACGCGUCCGUCUGUUCAGUUGCUCUGCAGAUCAGAUGCAUAAUUUGCCAUUGAAGCUUCAUUAGCGGUUUCAUAGGAUUAGCCGUCUCUACAGGAGGGACUGCCUCAUGAAUGCAACAACCAUCAUCAGAGAGCCCCACCAUCUGGCCCAUGCCACCUUCACGCAGCUCCCAUCGGGCAGGAGGUGCAGAAGCCUGAAGUCCCAUGCCAUCAAGUUCAAGAACAGCUCUUGCCUUCAACCAUUUGACUCUUGAAAGAACUGGCAAAACCCUAAUCAAUAUAGUUUAGAAACAUUUACACCUCUGUAGCAUUGGCUUAUUUGGUUCUAAUUGUUUUCUUUUUUGUGACAAUUGUGUUUAUAUUUCUGUUUUUCUCUUGAGAAACCACAUAUCUGAUGCUGUGAGCCUGUGAUGCUGCUGGAAGGAAGUUUUUCAUUGCACCUGUGCACACAUGAACUCGUCCAGUGGGAAAAUAAACUCAUCUUUGACCUACAGUUCAAUCUUCCCUUUGUGUCUGUCUCUGGGACUGUGUUUGUAGUCGGUGCUGAAGUUAUUGUUUGACUCGUUUACACUGUGGCUAAGGCCAUCCCAAGCUGCCAUUGAAGAAGGAAGUGGUGAGCAACUUUCUGAAACUACUUCAGUCCCUCCGUGGUGAAGGUGGGGGAGAGGGCUCCAGCAUUUCAACUCUGUGACAAUGCAGGGAAAACGAGACAUAUAUAUAUAUUUUAAUUAUUGAGAUAAAGUGUGGAGUAGGACUUUCUGGCUCUUCGAACUACACCAGCCAGCAAUCUUUUGAUUUAAUCCUAGCCUAAUCAUGGGACAAUUUACAAUGAACAAUUAACCUACCAACUGGAACAUCUUUAGACUGUGGGAGGAAACUUCCGCAGUCACGGGGAGAAUGUACAAACUCCUUACAGGCAGCUGCAGGAUUUGAACCAGGAUUGCUGGUACUGUAAAGCGUUGUGCUAACCAGUAAAUUAUCCUGCCAUUCCAAAUAUGUCCAGGUCAGGUGGGUGAGGAGAAUGCUCAGGUGAUCUCAUCCAACUGCCACCCUUCUUCGCCUUGGUGAUUGAGGCUGAGGAUCUCCCCUCCCUCUGCUCCCACCUGGCCCACCUCCCUUAUUUCGAUCCACAACCCACCUUCCUUUCCCAUCUUAUUCCAUCAUCUCCAGCCCUAUCACCUCCCAGCUUCUGUGGCUAUCUGCACUGUCCCCUUUCCACCUGCCUAUCAUCAGGAUCCACCAAUCACCAGCUCUUGCUCCACCCUCUUUUUUACACUGGCUCCCAUCUACCUUUCAAUCCAGGUGAAGGGACUGCAUCGUCCAAUCAACAUUCCAAGAUGUCGACUGUCUAUUUCCCAGCCUGUUCCUCCAGCCUCUUGUCUUCCCACUCUUGUAUCUUUUUCAUUCUGUAUCUCCCUCUCCUUGUGUGUGGGAUGGUGGGCAUUUCAUUAGGGACAUUUAAGAGACUCUGAGGUUUUCACUUAGAUGAAAGAAAAUUAGAGGGGUGUUAGAUUGAUCUUGGAGUAGGUUAAAAUGUUGGCACAAUAUCGUGGGUCAAUGCCCCUACUAUGUUGUAAUGUAUGUUCUCCAGAGGAAAUUGGAGGUGGGUGAUAAUGGUAAGCGCUAAGUGUGUCAUGUUUAGUGGGCUUGGUGAGAAAGUUGGGUGAGGGACCCCUCCUCCAGAAGUCAGGGCAGUUCCAGCUGAGUGAAGCCCCGCGUUAACUCCCGCCAGUCGUCAGGCAUAAACCCAGCGCCACAAACAGGAACAAUUGCUUCAAGCGGCUGUCGUUGAAAGUCAGCCUUGGCCUGAUGAGGAAGUGUUGUCACAUUACAUCUGCCGCAGCAUUCUGGAAUUAGUGGUGCGGAAUGAGAUGACAGCGGAGCUCUAGGACCCUGGAGUGGAGCGUGGUUGAUGAACACAUCAGUGAAAGGUUCCCAUGCGUGAAAAAUUGCACUUCAGAAAACACUUCAGUGCUGAACCAUCUGGUCAACUAUUCUGUGCUAACGGCUCCGACUAAUUUUUAAUGUGCUUUUGAUCUAACUGCUGGAUGUACAGGUCACCUUUACUUUGCAGUUGCAGAGAAACUCCGUAAUAAAAAACACAAACAGAAUUAAUGGUUAAUACUCUGCAGCAGUAACUGCAUCUGUGUUCUUUCAGUUACAGUCGCAACCAGAUCUGCCAUUUGGAAGCUUUGAAAACUUCAUUUGGAGGAGAACAUUGCUGUUAAAAAUGCAUUAAACUGGGGCCUGCCACAUGAAGUGAGGCAGGACCAUUUCCGCCUAAACAAAAGAUAUCAGGUCUCUAUUCCAGUUCAUUAGCCCUGAAUUUCCUUAUUAAAGAUUGGCCUUGCUUGGCACAUGUGCAUCGAAACAUACAGUGAAAUGUGUUGAUUGCAUCAACGACCAGCACGGCCCGAGAUGUUCUGGACGGGGGGCUGCCACAGAUCCAGUAACAACGUAGCAUGCUCACAACUUACUAACCCUACCUGUGCACCUUUGGAAUGAGGGAGGAAACUGGAGAUCCCGGAGGAAUCCCAUGUGGUCACGAGGAGAGCGUACAAACUCCUUGCAGACAGUGGCGGGAAUUGAACCCUGAUCCUAAAGCUGGUGCUGUAUGUGGUAGAAGGUGGCGCCAGUGAACAACACUACCAAAGGUGACGUCCGCAAGAUGGUUAGUGAAGCAACUCCUUUCACUGACACAAAGUACACUGCAGAUGCUGUGGUCAAAGCAACACGUACAACAUGCUGGAGGAACUCAGCAGAUAUGGUCCUGCUAGAGUUUCAGCCUGUUAUCUGCUUUCUGGCGGUGUGAUUUCAGGCUGUCUCUAAGAGUGUUCAAAGAGGCUGCAGCCAGAUCCUGCGACAUGGAGGAGGGAAAGCCAGGAGAUGGGGCGCGGGCUCGUGAUUGACUCCUUCUCUCACAGAUCUCACCAAUUAAAGUACUGUGAAAAUUGAAAUCAUCGAGGUGGGUGCGGAGGGGAGUGAGGGUUCAGCACCGUCUACCAGUCUCUCGCUCGCUGCUCCCGAGGGCAGGUACUUGUGUUUGUGUGAUCUCUCUCUCCAUCGAUGAUGUUGGCGGAUGUGGCAGGAGCAAAGUUUAAUCGACGUGGAUUGGAGAUUUGAACUCUAACUCAAUUUUUACAAUGUUUUCUAUUUCUAGUUCUAGUUCUGGUCAUUUUUCUUUGUUGCUACUUUUGGGUGAGUUUCGGAUCGGGGUGAUAACGAACACUGAGCUGAACUGUAGCGCAAUAUGCCUUUUGAUUUUCUGUAUUACGUUCUGUGUUUUCGAUUUUUUUUGUUGCUGUUUGCGCGAUUUAUUUUUGCACGUGCGGGUGAAAGGGGGUUUGAUGUUUGAUGAUUUUCUUUGAACAGGUUGGUUCCAUGGUUCCUCUUUGUUUCGUGACUGUCUGUGAGGAAGAUGAAUUUCAAGUUGUAUACUGUAUACAUUCUUUGAUAAUAAAUCAAAGUGUUAUGCCAGACGCUAUGCUACAGAAAGUGUCCUGUCAGGUUCUAUUGCAGCCUGGUAUGGCAACUGUUCUGCUCUAGACAGAACGUGCAGAGAGUGAUAAACACU